Molecule: ribosomal RNA, 251 nt
Filed under: uncultured bacterium
Lineage: Bacteria
Description: partial 16S ribosomal RNA
Rfam family: Bacterial small subunit ribosomal RNA
Source: RNAcentral
UACGGGGAGCAAGCGUUGUUCGGAUUUACUGGGCGUAAAGGGCGCGUAGGCGGCCACCGCAAGUCGACUGUGAAAUCUCCGGGCUUAACCCGGAAAGGUCAGCCGAUACUGCGGGCUAGAGUGCAGAAGGGGCAACUGGAAUUCUCGGUGUAGCGGUGAAAUGCGUAGAUAUCGAGAGGAACACCUGCGGCGAAGGCGGGUUGCUGGGCUGACACUGACGCUGAGGCGCGAAAGCUAGGGGAGCGAACGGG